Molecule: long non-coding RNA, 1556 nt
Organism: Plutella xylostella (diamondback moth)
Lineage: Eukaryota; Metazoa; Arthropoda; Insecta; Lepidoptera; Plutellidae
Source: RefSeq, a predicted model, not a curated record
UUGGUAUUUUUUUUUCCUUUUCACGGAAAAGGCUAAGGGCAUUAUCCCAUACCGCCUGGUCUUAUUUAAUUUUGUCUUCUAUGUGAUUUUGUUCGAGGCCAAAGGCCUUGUCUUUCGUUGUAAUCUUCAAAUUUUCUUGUAAAUAUAAGGUCGAAACCAAGUCUUUAGUAUUAUAUUGUCGAGGCUUAUAGCCUUGUCUAUCGUUGUGUAUCGUUAUAUCAGGGUACUGUGUAUUUUCCGGUAUUUGUUAUUUUUUCAAAUAACUCCAAUCGUAUUUUUGAUAAAGUCAUAAAUGGGGUAGAAUGUGUCCGUAUUCUUGAGAAGAUCCUGAAUAGAGCGCGGGACAUCCAGGGCUUCUUUGUAUAAAUCCAGUAAAUUGUCAAUAAGAAUAAUCCUUUGUAGAUUAAAUGCAGAGCAAUCAAAAAAUAUAUGAUCCAGAGAUUGAAUUAUAUCGUUAUUACAGUAUGUGCAAUUUGGGGAAGGUAUCAUUUUUAAUCUAAAAAGGUGUUCAUUGAAUCUGCCAUGUCCAAGUCUUAAACGACAAAUAGUUGAAUAAAAGUUUCUGUUUAUAAAUUUUCCUUUGAUGAACCAGGGUUGAGUAAUGUCGGAGUUGAUAGAGCUAUACCAUUUUCCUUUACUUUGGAUUGUUUCAUGCCAAUGAGUCAUCCAUUGGUCUUUUAUAAUAGUCUUGAUUAAAACUUUGCAGUCUGAACCUGGCAACUUAAUAUUUUUAAUAGGUAUUUGUUGGAUAUUGGGAUUUUUUACUAUGGAGCUGGCAAGUUUAUCAGCGAGGUCAUUACCCGAAACGUCAAUGUGUGAAGGUGUCCAAAUAAAGCGGAUUUCUCUGUCUUGAUUGAGCCAAAGCCUGCUAUAAAUCUGCCUGAUGUUGUAUAUGAUGUAAUUUGUGCCACUACUAUAAGAAGGAUUUGAUAAAGCCAUUAAUACACUCAUGCUGUCCGAAAUUAUCAACCAUUUCUUGAAAUUGAGGUAUUCCCAAAGAAGAAAGAGUUGUACAUAAAACUGAAUGAUUAAUGUUAUUAAAUGCGCCUACAAUAUCAAAAAAGAUACAUAUAAGAUGUUUAUUACUGUUAAUGGCAGUGUUAAUAUCAUGGAAGAGAUGACCUAUACUUUCUCUUGCUGAUCGACCACGACGAAACCCAAAUUGAUUUCUUGGAAGGAUAUGAUUUCUUUCAAUAUAAAACUCAAGACGCUGUUUUAUUAGUUGCUCAAAGAGUUUGCCUGAACAGGAUGUUAAAGCUAUUGGUCGAGUCCAGGACAUCUCUUCCACGAGCACUGACGGAUUGACAGCCCCAAAUGGUGUGAUGAGCAUUAAAAUCGCCUGAUACAAAACAUGGUUUAGAUGGAGCAGCGUUCUGAGUUCUUACAAAACUUUGCUAAAUGGCCAUACCUGAGACACCGGAAACAUUGCUUGACUGGAGGAACAUACGCUGUAAUAUCAUGCCGCCAGCCGUCCAAAUCGACGUAGUCUGGAAGUACUGACGUCGCGAAGGUGAUGGCUACAGUCUGCAGGGGCUGUAGAAUAAAAUUGUUGUCAA